Molecule: ribosomal RNA, 230 nt
Filed under: uncultured bacterium
Lineage: Bacteria
Description: partial 16S ribosomal RNA
Rfam family: Bacterial small subunit ribosomal RNA
Source: RNAcentral
AAAGCGUGCGCAGGCGGCUUUGCAAGACAGAGGUGAAAUCCCCGGGCUCAACCUGGGAACUGCCUUUGUGACUGCAAGGCUAGAGUACGGCAGAGGGAGAUGGAAUUCCGCGUGUAGCAGUGAAAUGCGUAGAUAUGCGGAGGAACACCGAUGGCGAAGGCAAUCUCCUGGGCCUGUACUGACGCUCAUGCACGAAAGCGUGGGGAGCAAACAGGAUUAGAUACCCCAGU